CCUUGGUCUUGUAAACCAAAAAUGGAGAGUAACCGCCCUCCCUAAGACU
RNAcentral lists this transfer RNA (49 nucleotides) under Canis lupus (wolf). RNAcentral describes it as "partial tRNA-Thr". Lineage: Eukaryota; Metazoa; Chordata; Mammalia; Carnivora; Canidae. The record is from RNAcentral.